Long non-coding RNA from Lates calcarifer (barramundi perch), 989 nucleotides. RefSeq lists it as uncharacterized. The transcript has 5 exons. Lineage: Eukaryota; Metazoa; Chordata; Actinopteri; Centropomidae. The record is from RefSeq and is a predicted model, not a curated record.
CGGAAAACAGAUUUAAACCAAGUUUGAACCAUUGCUUCGGUUUGUCAGUAGCGAGAGAAAACGUUGGUAGUAGUGAGGUCUGGAUGCUAAAGCAAACUCUGGAGCUGCUUUUUUCACGUUAAUGAAGAGGUCUGGAUGCUAAAGCAAACUCUGGAGCUGCUUUUUUGUCGAACACGAGUAAGACUUGACGCUGAACGCACCUCCAGCGCGAAGGUUUGCUAGUUCAGCUGUUGCAGCCUGGACAAAGAUGCCACCUCUCAGCUCACAAAACAAACAGGUUUCACCACUUCAUUCAUGAUCGUAAAGAAUGAAGAAGUUCUUUGAGACCAGGACAGAGGCCUCCAGGAUUCAAACUUCAAACAUUAAAGAACAGAGAGAAGAGACACAGAUGUCAAGACAUUUCCAUAAGGUUUUCCACUGCUGUUGUCUUCUCCUGCAGAGACAAGAACACGUGUUAAGCACAGAAACAGAUCAAUAAAUCUAUUUUUCCUUUCCUAAACUGUGCUUAUUAAUUUUUUAUACCUAAUUGCAGGGAUUUAAGCUAAACUUUUUACAAUGCAGUCAGUAUCACAUGUUUUUCCAGUUACAGUGAUGUCUAGAAAGAGUUCUGAAACUCUAUAUAAAAUAAGAACCUACUGUAAUUACUGUGACUGGCACGUCACUGUGAGUUGUGGACAAUGUCUCUCUGAUCAUGGACCAUGUCUCUGUGCUUAUGGACAUCGGGGACGAGGUGGUGACAUCUGGAGGACAUCAAAGAGAAACAUACAAAGCAAAAUGAUUGAUACACUACUACUUAUUCCUCAUCAACUGUUUAGCCAUGAAAACACAGAAAUAUUCAACAUUACAGACAAACCAGAACAUUUAACAAACAUAAAAGGGGGCUGUUUCAGAAAAUCAAUAGUUGCCUGUUAUCACCAACAAAUCACUGAAGCAAUCUUGUAUGUUACUGUGAACUGCACAGCAAUAAUAAACAUUGUCAUUUAAGUCAA